ACAAGCAGUGGGAGCACCCUUUGGGUGUGACUGCGUACCUUUUGUAUAAUGGGUCAGCGACUUAUAUUCUGUAGCAAGGUUAACCGAAUAGGGGAGCCGGAGGGAAACCGAGUCUUAACCGGGCGUUAAGUUGCAGGGUAUAGACCCGAAACCCGGUGAUCUAGCCAUGGGCAGGUUGAAGGUUGGGUAACACUAACUGGAGGACCGAACCGACUAAUGUUGAAAAAUUAGCGGAUGACCUGUGGCUGGGGGUGAAAGGCCAAUCAAACCGGGAGAUAGCUGGUUCUCCCCGAAAGCUAUUUAGGUAGCGCCUCGUGAAUUCAUCUCCGGGGGUAGAGCACUGUUUCGGCUAGGGGGCCAUCCCGGCUUACCAACCCGAUGCAAACUGCGAAUACCGGAGAAUGUUAUCACGGGAGACACACGGCGGGUGCUAACGUCCGUCGUGAAGAGGGAAACAACCCAGACCGCCAGCUAAGGUCCCAAAGUCAUGGUUAAGUGGGAAACGAUGUGGGAAGGCCCAGACAGCCAGGAUGUUGGCUUAGAAGCAGCCAUCAUUUAAAGAAAGCGUAAUAGCUCACUGGUCGAGUCGGCCUGCGCGGAAGAUGUAACGGGGCUAAACCAUGCACCGAAGCUGCGGCAGCGACACUGUGUGUUGUUGGGUAGGGGAGCGUUCUGUAAGCCUGUGAAGGUGUGUCGUGAGGCAUGCUGGAGGUAUCAGAAGUGCGAAUGCUGACAUAAGUAACGAUAAAGCGGGUGAAAAGCCCGCUCGCCGGAAGACCAAGGGUUCCUGUCCAACGUUAAUCGGGGCAGGGUGAGUCGACCCCUAAGGCGAGGCCGAAAGGCGUAGUCGAUGGGAAACGGGUUAAUAUUCCCGUACUUGGUGUUACUGCGAAGGGGGGACGGAGAAGGCUAUGUUGGCCGGGCGACGGUUGUCCCGGUUUAAGCGUGUAGGUGUGUGUUCCAGGUAAAUCCGGUUCACUUUAACACUGAGGCGUGACGACGAGGCACUACGGUGCUGAAGCAACAAAUGCCCUGCUUCCAGGAAAAGCCUCUAAGCAUCAGGUAACAUCAAAUCGUACCCCAAACCGACACAGGUGGUCAGGUAGAGAAUACCAAGGCGCUUGAGAGAACUCGGGUGAAGGAACUAGGCAAAAUGGUGCCGUAACUUCGGGAGAAGGCACGCUGACACGUAGGUGAAGUGAUUUACUCAUGGAGCUGAAGUCAGUCGAAGAUACCAGCUGGCUGCAACUGUUUAUUAAAAACACAGCACUGUGCAAACACGAAAGUGGACGUAUACGGUGUGACGCCUGCCCGGUGCCGGAAGGUUAAUUGAUGGGGUCAGCGCAAGCGAAGCUCCUGAUCGAAGCCCCGGUAAACGGCGGCCGUAACUAUAACGGUCCUAAGGUAGCGAAAUUCCUUGUCGGGUAAGUUCCGACCUGCACGAAUGGCGUAAUGAUGGCCAGGCUGUCUCCACCCGAGACUCAGUGAAAUUGAACUCGCUGUGAAGAUGCAGUGUACCCGCGGCAAGACGGAAAGACCCCGUGAACCUUUACUAUAGCUUGACACUGAACAUUGAGCCUUGAUGUGUAGGAUAGGUGGGAGGCUUUGAAGUGUGGACGCCAGUCUGCAUGGAGCCGACCUUGAAAUACCACCCUUUAAUGUUUGAUGUUCUAACGUGGACCCGUUACCCGGGUUGCGGACAGUGUCUGGUGGGUAGUUUGACUGGGGCGGUCUCCUCCUAAAGAGUAACGGAGGAGCACGAAGGUUGGCUAAUCCUGGUCGGACAUCAGGAGGUUAGUGCAAUGGCAUAAGCCAGCUUGACUGCGAGCGUGACGGCGCGAGCAGGUGCGAAAGCAGGUCAUAGUGAUCCGGUGGUUCUGAAUGGAAGGGCCAUCGCUCAACGGAUAAAAGGUACUCCGGGGAUAACAGGCUGAUACCGCCCAAGAGUUCAUAUCGACGGCGGUGUUUGGCACCUCGAUGUCGGCUCAUCACAUCCUGGGGCUGAAGUAGGUCCCAAGGGUAUGGCUGUUCGCCAUUUAAAGUGGUACGCGAGCUGGGUUUAGAACGUCGUGAGACAGUUCGGUCCCUAUCUGCCGUGGGCGCUGGAGAACUGAGGGGGGCUGCUCCUAGUACGAGAGGACCGGAGUGGACGCAUCACUGGUGUUCGGGUUGUCAUGCCAAUGGCACUGCCCGGUAGCUAAAUGCGGAAGAGAUAAGUGCUGAAAGCAUCUAAGCACGAAACUUGCCCCGA
This 2251-nucleotide ribosomal RNA is filed under the name Salmonella enterica subsp. enterica serovar Enteritidis. RNAcentral describes it as "partial 23S ribosomal RNA". It matches the Rfam family "Bacterial large subunit ribosomal RNA", at positions 566 to 2802 of the family's 2925-position model. The record is from RNAcentral. Lineage: Bacteria; Pseudomonadati; Pseudomonadota; Gammaproteobacteria; Enterobacterales; Enterobacteriaceae.